RNAcentral lists this ribosomal RNA (688 nucleotides) under Cryobacterium sp. Y4_144_1. RNAcentral describes it as "bacterial SSU rRNA". It matches the Rfam family "Bacterial small subunit ribosomal RNA", at positions 65 to 753 of the family's 1533-position model. Lineage: Bacteria; Bacillati; Actinomycetota; Actinomycetes; Micrococcales; Microbacteriaceae. The record is from RNAcentral.
GACGGUGAAGGAGAGCUUGCUCUUUGGAUCAGUGGCGAACGGGUGAGUAACACGUGAGCAAUCUGCCCUUGACUCUGGGAUAACUGCGGGAAACUGUAGCUAAUACCGGAUACGACCUGGAGAGGCAUCUUUUUGGGUGGAAAGAAUUUUGGUCAAGGAUGAGCUCGCGGCCUAUCAGCUUGUUGGUGAGGUAAUGGCUCACCAAGGCGACGACGGGUAGCCGGCCUGAGAGGGUGACCGGCCACACUGGGACUGAGACACGGCCCAGACUCCUACGGGAGGCAGCAGUGGGGAAUAUUGCACAAUGGGCGCAAGCCUGAUGCAGCAACGCCGCGUGAGGGACGAAGGCCUUCGGGUUGUAAACCUCUUUUAGUAGGGAAGAAGCGACUGGGUUUUCCUGGGAGUGACGGUACCUGCAGAAAAAGCACCGGCUAACUACGUGCCAGCAGCCGCGGUAAUACGUAGGGUGCAAGCGUUGUCCGGAAUUAUUGGGCGUAAAGAGCUCGUAGGCGGUUUGUCGCGUCUGCUGUGAAAACCCGAGGCUCAACCUCGGGCCUGCAGUGGGUACGGGCAGACUAGAGUGCGGUAGGGGAGAUUGGAAUUCCUGGUGUAGCGGUGGAAUGCGCAGAUAUCAGGAGGAACACCAAUGGCGAAGGCAGAUCUCUGGGCCGUAACUGACGCUGAGGAG